Molecule: ribosomal RNA, 509 nt
Filed under: Escherichia coli
Lineage: Bacteria; Pseudomonadati; Pseudomonadota; Gammaproteobacteria; Enterobacterales; Enterobacteriaceae
Description: partial 23S ribosomal RNA
Rfam family: Bacterial large subunit ribosomal RNA
Source: RNAcentral
GGGUUGUGAGGUUAAGCGACUAAGCGUACACGGUGGAUGCCCUGGCAGUCAGAGGCGAUGAAGGACGUGCUAAUCUGCGAUAAGCGUCGGUAAGGUGAUAUGAACCGUUAUAACCGGCGAUUUCCGAAUGGGGAAACCCAGUGUGAUUCGACACACUAUCAUUAACUGAAUCCAUAGGUUAAUGAGGCGAACCGGGGGAACUGAAACAUCUAAGUACCCCGAGGAAAAGAAAUCAACCGAGAUUCCCCCAGUAGCGGCGAGCGAACGGGGAGCAGCCCAGAGCCUGAAUCAGUGUGUGUGUUAGUGGAAGCGUCUGGAAAGGCGCGCGAUACAGGGUGACAGCCCCGUACACAAAAAUGCACAUGCUGUGAGCUCGAUGAGUAGGGCGGGACACGUGGUAUCCUGUCUGAAUAUGGGGGGACCAUCCUCCAAGGCUAAAUACUCCUGACUGACCGAUAGUGAACCAGUACCGUGAGGGAAAGGCGAAAAGAACCCCGGCGAGGGGAGUG